Molecule: long non-coding RNA, 328 nt
Filed under: Salvia miltiorrhiza (redroot sage)
Lineage: Eukaryota; Viridiplantae; Streptophyta; Magnoliopsida; Lamiales; Lamiaceae
Description: long non-coding RNA (SMIL_LNC000303)
Source: RNAcentral
AAAACCUUACAACAGAAUUUUGUUUUCAAAUCAAAACAUGCAUACAUCCAUUUUUUUCUGUAAUUUCCAUAAGGAAAUCAAAUAGAAUUCAUAUCCAUAGUUUAACAGAGAAAGAAUUAUGAAAACCUAGACUGAUAAAGGGGAAUUUGGGGGAGGAGUUGGUGCAGAGGCGGUGGCAGGGAGACGUAGGGGUGGUGUACGGCGAGAGAUGAAGCAGGGGCAGCGGCACCGUGGUUUCUGCCGCUGCUGUGUAUUUCCGGUCGGGGCGGAGGGAGAGGCGCCUGGGCAGCGCCGCUGUCGACGCGGGGGCGGCGAUGGUGGUGCUGCU